Molecule: long non-coding RNA, 408 nt
Organism: Anopheles merus
Lineage: Eukaryota; Metazoa; Arthropoda; Insecta; Diptera; Culicidae
Exons: 3
Source: RefSeq, a predicted model, not a curated record
AAUGGUGCAACCUCUUUUUUCGCCAUCGUAGCCUGCGACACUAUCAACCGUGGCUACACUUCCUAUUAUCUGUCAGGUGUUUUGCGUGUAUGCGUGUGUGCAUUGGUUUGUUUACUGUCUGCUCACUGUUCGAUCUGUUGCGUCGUAACCACGCGGUUUUACCCCAAUUGCUCUAAGGAAAUUGCACAUCCGUGCGUGGACCUAUCGGUUUACUACCACGAUUCCUCCCUUAGGCCAACAAUUCCUAGGAAUUGUUACACGCCACUACAACUAUAUCCCCUAUUUCUGUCGGCCGCACCGGUUCGGACCGCUCGGUUCUGUGGUGAAGUAAACCCAUCACGCUUGAACGCCUUUUUGUUGUAGGGCAAAUUGACGCUGUUGUACCGCCACAAAGGUCCCAUUUCGUAU